UCCAAGGCUAAAUACUCUCUAAUGACCGAUAGUGAACAAGUACCGUGAGGGAAAGGCGAAAAGAACCCCGGGAGGGGAGUGAAAUAGAACCUGAAAUCGUAUGCAUACAAGCAGUAGGAGCGGAUUUAUUCCGUGACUGCGUACCUUUUGUAUAAUGGGUCAGCGACUUACUUCUCAGUAGCAAGGUUAACCAAUAGGGGAGCCGUAGGGAAACCGAGUCUUAAAUGGGCGUUUAGUUGCUGGGAGUAGACCCGAAACCGGGUGAUCUAUCCAUGGCCAGGGUGAAGGUUAGGUAAAACUAACUGGAGGCCCGAACCCACUUAUGUUGAAAAAUAAGGGGAUGAGCUGUGGAUAGGGGUGAAAGGCCAAACAAACCCGGAGAUAGCUGGUUCUCUCCGAAAUCUAUUUAGGUAGAGCCUCAUGUAUUACUGUCGGGGGUAGAGCACUGUUAUGGCUAGCGGGUCGUCAAGGCUUAGUAAACCAUUGCAAACUCCGAAUACCGACAAGUAUGAGCAUGGGAGACACACUGCGGGUGCUAACGUCCGUAGUGGAAAGGGAAACAACCCAGACCGUCAGCUAAGGUCCCAAAAUUGUAGUUAAGUGGGAAACGAUGUGAAAAGGCCCAGACAGCCAGAAGGUUGGCUUAGAAGCAGCCAUUCCUUUAAAGAGUGCGUAAUAGCUCACUGGUCGAGUCGGUUUGCGCGGAAGAUUUAACGGGGCUAAAACUACAUACCGAAGCUACGGAUUGCAAUUUAUUGCGAUGGUAGGAGAGCGUUCUGUAAGCCGUUGAAGGUGAACUGUGAGGUUUGCUGGAGGUAUCAGAAGUGCGAAUGCUGACAUGAGUAACGAUAAAGGGGGUGAAAAGCCCCCUCGCCAGAAGUCCAAGGUUUCCUACGCAACGUUAAUCGGCGUAGGGUUAGUCGGUCCUAAGGCGAGGCAGAAAUGCGUAGUCGAUGGGAAAUGGGUUAAUAUUCCCAUACUUCAUAUAACUGCGAUGGGAAGACGGAGAAGGUUAACGCAGCUUGGUGAUGGUUGUCCAAGUUCAAGCGUGUAGAGUAGGUUCUUAGGAAAAUCCAGGAAUCUUAGAUUUAGAUCUAAAGCUCAAGGCGUGAUAACGAACCCUCUUUUGGGAAAAGUGCGUGAUACCAUGCUUCCAGGAAAAUCCUCUAAGCUUCAGGUUAUAUGAAACCGUACCCCAAACCGACACAGGUGGACGAGAUGAGAAUUCUAAGGCGCUUGAGAGAACUCGGGUGAAGGAACUAGGCAAAAUGACACCGUAACUUCGGGAGAAGGUGUGCUCUUGCCGGUGAUUUUACUUGCUAAAUGAGCUGGUAAGAGUUGAAGAUACCAGGUGGCUCCGACUGUUUAUUAAAAACACAGCACUCUGCAAACACGUAAGUGGACGUAUAGGGUGUGACGCCUGCCCGGUGCUUGAAGGUUAAUUGAUGAGGUUAGGAUUCGUCCGAAGCUUUUGAUUGAAGCCCAAGUAAACGGCGGCCGUAACUAUAACGGUCCUAAGGUAGCGAAAUUCCUUGUCGGGUAAGUUCCGACCUGCACGAAUGGCGUAACGAGGGCCACACUGUCUCCACCCGAGACUCAGUGAAAUUGAAAUUGCUGUUAAGAUGCAGUAUACCCGCGGCCAGACGGAAAGACCCCGUGCACCUUUACUACAGCUUUGCAUUGAACUCUGAUUCUACCUGUGUAGAAUAGGUGGGAGGCUUUGAAACUUGGACGCUAGUUCGAGUGGAGCCAUCCUUGAAAUACCACCCUGGUAUGGUUGGGAUUCUAACCUAGGUCCAUUAUCUGGAUCGGGGACAAUGCAUGGUGGG
Molecule: ribosomal RNA, 1829 nt
Filed under: Vesicomya sp. mt-II symbiont
Lineage: Bacteria; Pseudomonadati; Pseudomonadota; Gammaproteobacteria
Description: bacterial LSU rRNA
Rfam family: Bacterial large subunit ribosomal RNA
Source: RNAcentral